Molecule: ribosomal RNA, 566 nt
Filed under: uncultured Desulfobacteraceae bacterium
Lineage: Bacteria; Pseudomonadati; Thermodesulfobacteriota; Desulfobacteria; Desulfobacterales; Desulfobacteraceae
Description: bacterial SSU rRNA
Rfam family: Bacterial small subunit ribosomal RNA
Source: RNAcentral
GCCUUCCCUACGGGGGGAGGAGCAUGAGGAAUUUUGCGCAAUGGGGGAAACCCUGACGCAGCAACGCCGCGUGAGUGAUGAAGGCCUUCGGGUCGUAAAGCUCUGUCAAGUGGGAAGAACCCUUGUAUCCGGAUAAUGGAUGCAAGCUGACGGUACCACUGAAGGAAGCACCGGCUAACUCCGUGCCAGCAGCCGCGGUAAUACGGAGGGUGCAAGCGUUAUUCGGAAUUACUGGGCGUAAAGGGCGCGCAGGCGGCCAUGUAAGUCAGUUGUGAAAGCCCGGGGCUCAACCCCGGAAGUGCGACUGAAACUGUGUGGCUUGAGUAUGGUAGAGGGAAGUGGAAUUCCUGGUGUAGCGGUGAAAUGCGUAGAUAUCAGGAGGAACACCGGUGGCGAAGGCGACUUCCUGGACCAUAACUGACGCUGAGGCGCGAAGGCGUGGGUAGCAAACAGGAUUAGAUACCCUGGUAGUCCACGCAGUAAACGUUGAUCACUAGGUGUUGCGGGUAUUGAUGCCUGCAGUGCCGGAGCUAACGCAUUAAGUAUCCGCGCUGGAGAACGGCACU